This 1039-nucleotide long non-coding RNA is filed under the name Sus scrofa (pig). Its description in RNAcentral is "lncRNA (ENSSSCG00015041771.1)". Lineage: Eukaryota; Metazoa; Chordata; Mammalia; Artiodactyla; Suidae. The record is from RNAcentral.
AGGGAGAUUAUUAAAAUGGGUGUAACCUCAAGCACUAGAGCCAAGCAGAUCCCAAGACCCCGACUCAAAACAGAUGAUGGACAUGAACAAACUUGAACUUCGGUGAAAAGCUGCAAGCCACAUCGGGUGAGGGGAGGCCCAUCUCCCCCUCAGACUGAGGACAAGGGGAAGGGCCAGGGGAACAGCCAGCUCCUCCCCCACUGAAAGAAUGACCUCCUCUGCCUUGGUUAUGGAAAUACUCUACAGACCUCCAACAAAGAUCUUUUUCCCUUCUUUUUAAAAAAAUCUACUUUUUGGAGUUCCCGUUGUAUCUUAGUGACAACGAACUCGACUAGCAUCCACGGGGUUUCAGGUUCAAUCCUUGGCAGGUUUGUUAACCACUGAGCCACGACGGGAACUCCAAUAAAAUCUACCUUUUAAGGGGCAUACAGUAAAAUCAUCCUUUUUGGUGUCCAGUUCUAUGGACUCUGACAAAUGCAUCGAAUUAAGAGCUAGCUUCACAUCAAGAUACAGAACAGCUCUGUCACUUGAAAACCUCUUCCUUGUGCUGCCCUUUUUCCAAUGAAGAUCUUAAAGCAAACCCUUUCCACAAGGCAAAUCCCCUUCCAAAGAGCCAGAGGCUGCCCAAAUCCUUGUUGUGAUACUGUUGGGAGGAGAAUAUUGACUGAAAACAGAAAGUGGUCAAUGGCAACUUAGACAUUCUGACAUUACAUAUCUGCUUACAGUUGCUUAAAAAAAAAAAAAAGAAAGAAGAAGGGACAUGUUUUCAUGUAGGUCUCGGCCACUCUUCCACUUCUGGGUCUGCUCCUCAUUGGCCUGUCCCCCUGGCCAUGUCCCUGCCUUUUCCAGGCCUCAGCUUCCUGGUCUGUAAAUGAGCACGGCCGAGGAGGUCACCUUCUGAUAAACUGCUCUGAGGACAAUCCUGGGGGCACAGGCCAGGAAAUCGUAAAGCCACAUCAUUUUUAGCUGUUCCCAAAGCCUGUGUCCAGCCCUGAGAAUUAAAAAACAAAAAAACUAAAAAAAAAAAAAAAAAAAAAAA